RNAcentral lists this unclassified non-coding RNA (317 nucleotides) under Zea mays. RNAcentral describes it as "misc RNA Zm00001eb282150". Lineage: Eukaryota; Viridiplantae; Streptophyta; Magnoliopsida; Poales; Poaceae. The record is from RNAcentral.
GUCUGUUAUACAAAAAUGAUAAAGAAGUUGACUCUGGAAGCCCAUCGGAUGUUGAGAUAUUAGAAAACCCAACAGAUUCUAAGAAGAGGAAGCUACUCCACGUGCUUGAUGAUAACGAAGUAGUGUAUGAAGAUGAGGAAGGCCCUAUUACUCAAGCAGACUUGCAAAAGUGGUUUGUUGAUGAUUGGGAUAAAAGAACUCCUGUAAAAGUAUCUAACGAUGGGUGCACCAAUGACUUUUUAAUGGUUGGUCUUUCCACAAAGGACAUGCCAGUGACCAAAGCCGAUUCAAUAGAUGUUUUAUGUGAUUAUAUCAUG